UUAUAGGCAAUGAAGAGGAGUAGUAAGGAUUUCUUAUUUAUAAAGAGAGCUGUCGGCUGGUGUAAGGCAGUAAAUAAGUUCCUGAACUCGCCUUGGAGCUUUAAGGUUAAUAAUAAACCUUAACGGGUUGCGCCGUUAUACGUUUAGAGUGAGUUCAUUAACUGUGAACUAACAAGAGUGGUAACGCGUAGGUGAAGCCUGUCGUCUCUUAG
This 212-nucleotide non-coding RNA is filed under the name Oceanobacillus iheyensis. RNAcentral's name for it is "T-box sequence". It matches the Rfam family "T-box leader". From Rfam's summary of the family: Uncharged tRNA acts as the effector for transcription antitermination of genes in the T-box leader family. T-boxes are found upstream of many aminoacyl-tRNA synthetase genes and some amino acid biosynthetic genes usually in Gram-positive bacteria. The record is from RNAcentral. Lineage: Bacteria; Bacillati; Bacillota; Bacilli; Caryophanales; Bacillaceae.